This 151-nucleotide unclassified non-coding RNA is filed under the name uncultured Ascomycota. Its description in RNAcentral is "sequence contains ITS1". Lineage: Eukaryota; Fungi; Ascomycota. The record is from RNAcentral.
CCGAGUGAGGGCCUCUCGGCCCAACCUCCCAACCCUUUGUAUUUCCGACCCCGUUGCCUCGGGGGCGACCUGGGCCUCUUCGGGGCCCAGGGCCCCCGGUGGACCACUCAACUCUGCAUCUUUGCGUCUGAGUUUAUAUAUGAAUCAAUCA